GAAAUUCACAAUGGCGGAAACGUCGGAGUUGAAGCAUAUGGUUAUGAGUUUUCGAGUGUCUGAAUUGCAAGUUUUGUUGGGUUUUGCGGGAAAGAACAAGAGUGGACGUAAACAUGAACUCCAGGCACGAGCUCUUCAGCUUUUAAAAAAUGGCUGUGACACGCCAGUGCAAAUAAAAAUUAAAAACUUGUACAGAAGGCGGUAUCCACAUAAGUUUCAUGUGAUAAGUCCACCUCAUGCGACAAUGUCAUCAUCAACAACAACAACGUCGUCGUCAUCAUCAAAUACACAGUAUUCCACAAAUUUUAGAUUACAACCAACACAUUCACAAGGACUAUUGAACUUAAAUAACACUGCAUCGUCAGGAUCACAAUCAAGUUCACUGCCAGUGCAUCCUGAUGUCCGGUUAAAACAUUUACCAUUUUAUGAUGUAUUGGAUGAUUUGAUCAAACCAACAAGUUUAG
Molecule: small RNA, 464 nt
Filed under: Saccoglossus kowalevskii
Lineage: Eukaryota; Metazoa; Hemichordata; Enteropneusta; Harrimaniidae
Description: pIAS-like protein
Source: RNAcentral